AGAGUUGAUUAUGGCUCAGGAUGAACGCUAGCUACAGGCUUAACACAUGCAAGUCGAGGGGCAGCAUUGGAGUAGCAAUACUCAGAUGGCGACCGGCGCACGGGUGAGUAACACGUAUCCAACCUGCCGCUUACUCGGGGAUAGCCUUUCGAAAGAAAGAUUAAUACCCGAUGGUAUAAAGAGUUCGCAUGUUCUCUUUAUUAAAGAAUUUCGGUAAGCGAUGGGGAUGCGUUCCAUUAGAUAGUUGGCGGGGUAACGGCCCACCAAGUCUACGAUGGAUAGGGGUUCUGAGAGGAAGGUCCCCCACAUUGGAACUGAGACACGGUCCAAACUCCUACGGGAGGCAGCAGUGAGGAAUAUUGGUCAAUGGACGAGAGUCUGAACCAGCCAAGUAGCGUGAAGGAUGACUGCCCUAUGGGUUGUAAACUUCUUUUAGUAAGGGAAUAAAGUGAGGGACGUGUCCCUUUUUGUAUGUACCUUAUGAAUAAGGAUCGGCUAACUCCGUGCCAGCAGCAGC
Molecule: ribosomal RNA, 517 nt
Filed under: uncultured bacterium
Lineage: Bacteria
Description: bacterial SSU rRNA
Rfam family: Bacterial small subunit ribosomal RNA
Source: RNAcentral